AGACGAACCGUCCAAACGUUAUUCGGAAUCACUGGGCUUAAAGGGUGCGUAGGCGGCCCUGUAAGUUGGGUGUGAAAUCCCUUGGCUCAACCGAGGAAUUGCGCCCAAUACUGCAGGGCUAGAGGGAGACAGAGGUGAGCGGAACUUGUGGUGGAGCGGUGAAAUGCGUUGAUAUUACAAGGAACACCUGUGGCGAAAGCGGCUCACUGGGUCUCUUCUGACGCUGAGGCACGAAAGCUGGGGGAGCGAACGGGAUUAGAUACCCCGGUAGUCCCAGCUGUAAACGAUGAGCACUAGUCCGGAGGACCCCCCAUAGUUUUCCGGACGUAGCGAAAGUGUUAAGUGCUCCGCCUGGGGAGUAUGGUCGCAAGGCUGAA
RNAcentral lists this ribosomal RNA (377 nucleotides) under uncultured bacterium. RNAcentral's name for it is "bacterial SSU rRNA". It matches the Rfam family "Bacterial small subunit ribosomal RNA", at positions 523 to 898 of the family's 1533-position model. The record is from RNAcentral.